Molecule: long non-coding RNA, 287 nt
Organism: Mauremys reevesii (Reeves's turtle)
Lineage: Eukaryota; Metazoa; Chordata; Testudines; Geoemydidae
Exons: 3
Source: RefSeq, a predicted model, not a curated record
CCACAGUCUUGGAUACCUUCAGUGAACCAGGAAGUUUUGAGAAAGUCUCAGAGAAAAAAAAAAGAAUUAAAUCAAUUCCGGUUGGACCAGAGACACAGCUGUCACCCCAAGAAUCACACACAGGCUACUGUUGGAACAAAAUGCUGGAUCUGCUUUCACAAUUAAAGUGAUAGUUAUGUUUCCUGGAUUCUCUCAAUGGUGCCUUCCCUUGAAAAAUGUGAAAAGCUUAAAGAACAGUUCUCAGGACUGAAAAAGAUGACAUAAAUCUUGCAGCUGACAGAGAUCCC